RNAcentral lists this long non-coding RNA (1677 nucleotides) under Pogona vitticeps (central bearded dragon). RNAcentral describes it as "lncRNA (ENSPVIG00000021929.1)". Lineage: Eukaryota; Metazoa; Chordata; Lepidosauria; Squamata; Agamidae. The record is from RNAcentral.
GGGAGGGGGGGAAGAUACGGCGAGAGGGCCCGGCAGUUCUCUCACACGAGGAAGAGGAGGGGCGGGAGGAGGAAGAAGGGGCCGGAGGGGCGGGGCUAGGCGCAACCGGAAAGGGGUGCGGUGGCGGGAAAAAAAAAGAGUCCGUUAAACGGCCGUUACGACUCCCAACGGCCUGUGCUGCCUACGGCGGGCGCCCCUGUCAGGAAAAGGCCGGCAAAAUGGGGGAAAGGCUGCGCAACUAACAUCCAAUAAGGUGGCGGCAUAUGUGCUGUAAGCCUAUAUAUAUAGUUCGUAUAUGGCUACACACCGCUUCCGGCGGCUACUCCUUGGGUCCGCCCACUCAAAAAAAAAGAGGCAAGCCUACCGAAGCACGCAUGCGCCACGGGAGAUCAUUUAUCUUUGCAUCUACGUGUUUUCCCUCCCCCUUUUUCUUCCGAUGGCGCUCCAAACAGGUAACCCGAGAGUUACUACUCUCUGGAGCAUGCGCAGUGAAGAGCGUCUAAGUCGCCCCUGGAAACCGGCGCGAGCGGGACUGGUCUGGACAACCACAGGGCAAGGUCUGCAAGUUGGACAGAAGGUACAACACGAAGGACAGCUCCCAGUGACCACCCAGCUUUGACAAUGGGUAUUGCUGAACUGAGACCUCUUACAUUGCUGGCUGAGGAUUACUUCCUCCCAACUCACCUUGCUUUCUUCCUUCGGGAAGCCUUCUAAGGAUAGUUCCCUAGAACUUUGUCCUCUCUCUGGGACUCAUGCUGUGGGUACAGGAUUGGCAUACUCUAUUGUGGAGCUCUCCCAGAGUGGAAACCAGGCAUCAGAGGAUCAUCAUUCUCCUGGGCAUGGAGGCCUCAGGUUCAUGGGAAAUGGUUUGGGUCAGGUCAGGAGGACACAGGCCUAGCUGACUUGAAAGAUCCUUUAGACUGGCUCCUCACUCUCUGCAUUCAUGGCCAGGUUCCUGUUGGACAUCUGGGACAUGGCAUUUUGUUGAUGUCCCUUGUUGUUGUUCUUUUAAUCCAUUUUGUGUAACCAAAUCUAAGACACAUUUACUCUGGAGAAAGGUAUGAUCAUCAUCAUCAUGUGCCUCGAAGUUAAUUCUUUUUCAGGGUUCUACAGGUAGAUUCAGAAUGGUUUACCAUUUGCUUCUUGGUGCCCUGGGACUUCAUUUUGCCCAUGACUACACAGGCUGGCUAUUCAGUUAAAUCUUUUUCAGGGUUCUACAGGUAGAGAGUAUUCAGAAUGGUUUACCAUUUGCUUCUGGGGGUGUCCUGGGACUUCAUCUUGCCCAUGACUACACAGGCUGGCUCUUCUCCCUGGAGGCACAGUGGGAAAUUGAACUCGCCACCUCUGGCUUCUCAGGCGGAUACCUAAACCACUGACCUUGGAGAAGGGUAUAACAUUUGCUAUAAAUGACUAACAUUGCAGAGUUAUGAAGAAAUAGCCUGAUGAUCUCUUAUACUACAGUCCUGUAAGAUCAUGAACAUACUGUAUCUUCCUGCACCUUUGAGGUCAUGUGCCAGCAGAUCCCUCUUUAGUGCUUCUUUAAUUGUUCUCCUUUCUUGUAGUAAGUAGGGACCAAGUGAUCCCAUUCUGCUUAAUAGCACACAAAAAUUCAGCUCAUUAUUGCAAACCUGUAUUUGUUCUAAUAAAAAUAUAUUUUUUAAUCGUUUGCGGCUCUAU